Molecule: RNA transcript, 4079 nt
Organism: Ziziphus jujuba (common jujube)
Lineage: Eukaryota; Viridiplantae; Streptophyta; Magnoliopsida; Rosales; Rhamnaceae
Gene name: probable cyclic nucleotide-gated ion channel 20, chloroplastic
Exons: 9
Source: RefSeq, a predicted model, not a curated record
CAAAAAUUAGAGGUUGACGUUAAGUUAAUUUUCGAAUAUGAAAUCCACAAGAAAGUAGAAAGUAGUUCUCUGUUAUGGACUUGCCGUCCUUUCCCUGUCGCGCCAGCAACUCCGUAACGUUUAAAGCAAAUACCAAAACCGACUUUUCAAAGUCUUUAACAUUUGUUUGUUUGUGUUUUUUUUUUUUUUUUUUUCGCUGGGUUCAAAGUCUUUCCCUUAAGUCAGCCGUCUUUGUUACUCUGCCUUCUCUGUUAAGUCUGUCAUUCUGUGGAUAAAAUGCUGAUGCAGGUUGGUUGACUCUCUGCCCCCUGCAAAUUCAUUUCAGUCUCAAGCUCAAGCUGGUUUUCAUAUUCUUCGGAAUUCUGCUACUUGCUUGUUUGGUCGCAUAAAUUUCGGGCCAGAGUUUGAAGGAAGGGCAUAAUAGGGUCAAGAGUGCUUACCCUCUUGUGUUUCUGAGAGAUGGCUGCUUAUGAAAAAGAUGAGAUGCCGAUGUUGUCUCACAAUCAUCCUCGGUCAUCAGAUGAUAAUGUAAAUUCGCCAUUUGAAAGAUUUGGCCGGACACAAAGUGUAUCAUUCGCCAUUUCCAUGAACCCCAUGGAAUCUUAUGCAAGUGAACCUAACCUUGUAGGGGCAUACUGGCCCCAUGAGAAGUCAAAUAUCUCCAUUCAUACCUAUGAGUGGUCCACUAAAAGUCCGUCAACCCAACAACCUUUUACGGCCAAGUCGUAUUGUAGCAGUGAAAAGGGAAGCAGAAUCUAGGGUGGAAAAGGUUCCUUGCCACUAAUGGAACGAAUCAGAAUGAGUGGCCGAAUUACAGCUUUGCAGGAAAAAAUGAGCGUUUACUGAGGUCCGGGCAACUGGGUAUGUGCAAUGAUCCCUACUGCACAACGUGCCCAACAAUUUACCAUUACGAAGCAACUCCACACAAAUACCCGAAAGGUUUGGGUAUAUUUGAUUCCCAGGUGUUUCAUUUUUAAUCCGAUGCAUUAGUAUUUCUAGAUUAUCAUGUUUAUAUUCGUACUCCUAAUUACUUCUCUAUCAUGGUCUAACACUCAAGUCAGCUGCUGUAUGGAAUAAAUUUCUAAUUUUAUAGCUGCUUCUAUCUCAUGAUCAGGAAUUUAGCCAUCACAAAUUUGUGUCAAUCUAAGAUUAUAUUUUAUAUUCACUGCUAAACCAUACCCUCUGUAGUUAUGCAUGCAUGAUUGUGGCAUAAAUGGACAACUAUAAAGAAUAUAGUUUAUAAGCUGAUAUGAGAAAUUAUUGCCCUAAACAUGAAAUUUAGACCAUAGAAAAAAUUGAUUGCUUUACUGCCAAAUGGACCAUUUUGAUGGUCCCUAGGCUAGAACUAAAAUUGUUUGCUCCACUACCAAAUUGAACUGUGCUUUUUUUAACAUUUCUCAGUGUAUAUACGUGAAACUGACAAGGGAAACAGAAAUGAGUUUUGAAAAGAAUGAGAGAAUGCGUCAUCUUUUAGAGAUCUUUCACCUUUUAAAUCCACAUUUCUAUAUGAAUAAAAUGAAUAUAUGAAUGUUUUGUAACAUUUGAUGUCUAUUUUCCUAUAUUUUUUACUGUCUAGAAUGAUGACAUAAAUAGUUCUACAAAGUUAUGACUUCAUUUCAACUCUUUGCAGUCCAUAAUGCUCUCUAUGGCGAUGCCAAAGGUUGGGCAAGGAGAAUUUUCUCUUUUAUGAGUCCAUAUAUUCCUGGAGUUAUGAACCCCCAUGCUAAAGUUAUACAAAAAUUGAACAAAUUUUUUGUCAUAGCUUGCUUGGUGGCAAUUUUUAUGGAUCCAUUAUUUUUCUUCUUGUUAUCUGUUCAAUGGGUAUGAUUUAUUUUUCAAUUUAUUUUUUUAAUUUAUAAUAGGACAUGUGGUUAAGAUAAGACUGACUCAAGUACUCAAUCCUAACUAUUCAGGGCAAAACCGUUAGGUGACAUGAAUUAGGCUUGAGUUUCAGUAUUUUACUUACCUUUUUCUAGAUUUUGAUAUGCAAGAUUUCAAUUUAUCUCUUGAAACCUUCAUCAACAGAGUAUAUGCUAGUAAUAGCUUUGUCAUGUGAUUACAUGCUGCAUUCCUGCAUUCACCCCCUCCCUCUUCCAAUUACAAAAGUUAAAAAUACUUGGUGAUGAUUAAGAGAGUAGGAUAAAAGGAUAAAAAAUGAUAUUUUAAAUUUGCAGAAUGUGUUUUCUAAAGAAUAAAGGGCAAUCGGGUUUGUUUUUAGGAUUUCUUAUGUACCAUGUUAAGAACUUUUUUUGAUUUUAUUUUUGUGUGUGUGUGUGUGUGUGUGUGGUUGUAUAUAGUAUUAAUUUUAAAUUAACCAUAUGCUUAUCUUCAAUGUUUGUGGCUUUCUACUUAGGAGGCUAGAAAUGUCUCUAAGGCGCCAUGAUGUUGAACAAUGGAUGAGUCAUCGCCGCUUGCCUGAAGAACUUAGGAGGCGAGUACCACAAGCUGAACAGUAUAUCUGGGCAGCUACCAGAGGAGUAAAUGAAGAAAUUCUUUUGGAGAAUUUGCCUGAAGACCCUCAGCGAGAUAUAAGACGCCAUCUCUUCAUGUUCAUAAAGAAAGUUCGGAUAUUUUCCCUCAUGGAUGAGCAUAUUUUGGAUGCUAUUUGUGAAAGACUAAGACAAAAGACGUACAUCGGAGGACAAGACUGCCUCCAAAUUCCGACAGAAAUGGGAUUGAGAAAUUUAUUCAUGCCAAGUAUGUGGAAAAGAGAUGGGUUUCAAAGGAUGAAACUCAACCAACUUCAAGAUCAGCUGAAAUGAGUGGCAAUUUUAUGUCAGCAAGAGCAACGGAAAGAAACUUUCCAAAGAAAACAAGGAGUCUAUCUCUCAAGGAAGCUAUUCUAUCAAAACACCUAGGUGCAGCACAAGUUUCUCCUCCUCCUGUUGCCAAAUCCCUUGGGGGUUCACUUGAUUUGAAGAACAGCAUGUUUGUUUCAUCACCAUGCAAUGGUCCGUCAAUGACAAAAGAAUGUCUACAUCUACGAGAAGAACAAAUGGUAUCAAAGACCUCUACAAAUUGAUUUAUAUCCACGAUGCAAAGAAGGAUUCUUCUACUGUGACCCUCAACCUGGGCAACUUUUGUUUGUAAGACACUCAUAAUUUGUUAAUUCAUACUGUUUUGCAAGCGCAUGCUCACGAAGAGCUAUCAAAGCCAAUAGAAAUAAUUUAUAAGCAAAUUAUUAUAUGUUACGAACUAAAACUCAUUCACAACCUCCAAACCCACUAAUUAAGCAAGCCAGUUUUCCCUUAUUUCUUUCAAGUCCGCUGAAUAUGGAUCUCAUAUUUUAUACGGUAUGUAUACCAAUUAUAUGGUGAAAACAUGGCCAUUUUAGUGUGAUUUAUAUCUAGCUAGCUCUUUGUCUAUCAUUGGAUAUGAUUCAAGACUGUUGAUAUAAUAGAACUCUCAACUCAAAAUCUAUUUGUUGCAGGAGAUUUGUGAGAUUGAAGCUGUUGGAGUUGGAAACAGUUGUUGUACCCUUGACCUAUUAAGAUUUAUAUUGUUAUUGGUUCUUGAGGAAGUGAGAUGAUUUUGUCACUUUUUUGAGUGCAAAUAAACAAACAGCAGUUCUACCAUGAGACAAGGGUGUUGGAAAAGGUGUUAUCCUCCUCUUAUGACAAGGGAUCCUAACAUGGAUGGUCUUGGGAAGGUAACUAAACGAAUUUAAUUUAAUUUAAUGCUAAUAAUAUGGUAAAAGAAUACCUUAUAAAUAUACAACUCUUAAGUAGCUAAACCUAGAUAUACUCCCAAAAAGUAAGGUAUACCAUUGUUUGGAGAACAUGGGGACCGGACCUUCAAUCGAAAUUCACUCUUUAUGUUACCCUCUUUUUAUAAUUUAAAAGAAAAAUAAAUACUUUUUGGUGUCCUCUCCAGAACCUUCCCUUCUGUAUAAAGACCAACACUAAAUUGGUGCUACUUAAAAGAAGCAUAUAUUCCAGUUGAACAUAUGAAGAAACUAAUUAUCUUUUGGCUUCAUUAAAUAAUAAUUUACUUUACCGAUCAUGACAUGCCAUCUGAACUCAAUUAUGUUAUAAAUAUAAUUAUGAAGUUUCUCAUAUAAUUUUCCUUCAAAAGAAGAA